CAAAGUGACUCGGAAUAAAGGGCUUCAGCUACAGAGACGCUGCUGAUCACUGCAGGGGGCUGUUUCCAUCUCUCUCCAGUACCUGGGGAUAUUUUAUGGGGAAGAGGUGAAGAGGCUCACAGUGUUGGGUGGCUUGGAGAGCACAUGAACACAACAAAUGAGCUUCACUUCUCUUUCCUCUCACCCACCCCACAAAUCCCACUCCAGUGUGGUUCUUCAUCAAAGCUCACAUGAUGUGAUCCGAUACUCGCCUGUCCUCGGGGAAAGAAAAAGCACUGAGUGAUUCCUUUUGUUUUAAGCUGUGUAAUUGGUGAGAUCCUUGGAAAACUGACUGCCCAGAGCUCUGGAGCUUUCAGCCUUCACGCUAACGCACGGGCCCAGCUGGCUGGAGAUUAAAGCGCACAGUUGAAAACCAAAAAGCAUUUGAAAUUGCACCACUGAGCUGGCAGGAAAUUCCAGCUUUUUGUAGAUGUUGGAGGCGUUGGAACGGCGAGGAACCAGAAGGCUGCCAAAGAUUAUCACUCCAGCAACAAUGCUUACAGGCAGCUGAAGAACUCGAGGCCUCCUGUGAAGCCUUUGGCACCAAUGGAAGACUUCAGCUUCCUCUUCUCUCAUCCCCUUUCCUCCCCCCCUCACCAAGAGCAAAUCAAGCCCUGCUAGCAUGAGCGGUGGAGAACAGAAUCUGCAUUGACGACAGAUGGAACGAAUGUUAUGGAUGCAUCCCAGGCCCUGAGCUGUUGUGCCACAUAAAUCAGUAGUAAAACUUUGCCAACUCAGAAUGCUUCACAGGACUAGACUAUCAGCCAGCUUAAUGUCUGGCUCUGCAACCCCAAAAUUGCAUGGUCCAAAUAAAAAAAAAUAAAAUAAAAUAGUGAAUGUGUG
RNAcentral lists this long non-coding RNA (882 nucleotides) under Parus major (Great Tit). Its description in RNAcentral is "lncRNA (ENSPMJG00000017298.1)". Lineage: Eukaryota; Metazoa; Chordata; Aves; Passeriformes; Paridae. The record is from RNAcentral.